This is a non-coding RNA of Mycena albidolilacea, 68 nucleotides long. The record is from the annotation of a GenBank genome assembly. Lineage: Eukaryota; Fungi; Basidiomycota; Agaricomycetes; Agaricales; Mycenaceae.
GCGGGCGUGGAUCGUGGUACAACUCCUGUAACGAGUCCAAAUACCGGGUUCGAUUCCCGGCGCCUGUG